CGCGGCCUUGCCUUCUCGGCGGGUCGGUUUGUUGACGUACCGCAGGGUCACUAGGGGCAGUGCCCCGGGGUGUCAGAGCAGCCACAGUCAAAGGUUCGGAUGCCUCAGCAGGGGAAACAGUUGGACCACACGCCUUGACAUUCAGUUGAACAUCUAAAAUUAGGCAUGUUACAUUCAGUUGCUGAGGGGACAGUUUCAGUACUUCAUGGCAUUCAUUGGAUAGAACUUGCAAGUGCAAGUAUUCAGAAACAAUUA
RNAcentral lists this long non-coding RNA (255 nucleotides) under Vombatus ursinus (common wombat). RNAcentral's name for it is "lncRNA (ENSVURG00010019564.1)". Lineage: Eukaryota; Metazoa; Chordata; Mammalia; Diprotodontia; Vombatidae. The record is from RNAcentral.